RNAcentral lists this ribosomal RNA (578 nucleotides) under uncultured bacterium. RNAcentral's name for it is "bacterial SSU rRNA". It matches the Rfam family "Bacterial small subunit ribosomal RNA", at positions 338 to 916 of the family's 1533-position model. The record is from RNAcentral.
CCUACGGGAGGCAGCAGUAAGGAAUAUUGGACAAUGGACGCAAGUCUGAUCCAGCCAUGCCGCGUGAAGGAUUAAGGUCCUCUGGAUUGUAAACUUCUUUUAUAAGGGACGAAAAAAGGUCUUUCUAGAUCGUCUGACGGUACCUUAUGAAUAAGCACCGGCUAACUCCGUGCCAGCAGCCGCGGUAAUACGGAGGGUGCAAGCGUUAUCCGGAUUCACUGGGUUUAAAGGGUGCGUAGGCGGGCAGGUAAGUCAGUGGUGAAAUCCUAGAGCUUAACUCUAGAACUGCCAUUGAUACUAUCUGUCUUGAAUAUUGUGGAGGUAAGCGGAAUAUGUCAUGUAGCGGUGAAAUGCUUAGAUAUGACAUAGAACACCUAUUGCGAAGGCAGCUUACUACGCAUAUAUUGACGCUGAGGCACGAAAGCGUGGGGAUCAAACAGGAUUAGAUACCCUGGUAGUCCACGCCCUAAACGAUGGAUACUCGACAUGCGCGAUACACUGUGUGUGUCUGAGCGAAAGCAUUAAGUAUCCCACCUGGGGAGUACGACCGCAAGGUUGAAACUCAAAUGAAUUGACGG